GACGAACGCUGGCGGCGUGCUUAACACAUGCAAGUCGUGCGGAAAGGCCCCUUUGGGGGUGCUCGAGCGGCGAACGGGUGAGUAACACGUGAGUAAUCUGCCCUGCACUUUGGGAUAACUGCCGGAAACGGUGGCUAAUACUGGAUAGGACUGCAUCCUGCAUGGGGUGUGGUGGAAAGCCUUUGGGUGGUGUGGGAUGUGCUCGCGGCCUAUCAGCUUGAUGGUGGGGUAGUGGCCUACCAUGGCUUUGACGGGUAACCGGCCUGAGAGGGUGACCGGUCACACUGGGACUGAGACACGGCCCAGACUCCUGCGGGAGGCAGCAGUGGGGAAUAUUGGACAAUGGGCGGAAGCCUGAUCCAGCAACGCCGCGUGAGGGAUGAC
Molecule: ribosomal RNA, 384 nt
Filed under: uncultured bacterium
Lineage: Bacteria
Description: bacterial SSU rRNA
Rfam family: Bacterial small subunit ribosomal RNA
Source: RNAcentral